AACCGUACAUCUUAGAUUUGCUACCUCUCCGGAAACGGAGGGGCCCAUCUCUAAACCCUGUGUUAACGUACCUUUGUUGCUUUGGCAGGCCGCGGCCUCCGCGGCGGGCUCACGCUCGCCUGCGCCUGCCAGAGGACCCAACUCUUGAUUUUAGUGAUGUCUGAGUACUAUUAAAUAGUUAAAACUUUCAACAACGGAUCUCUUGGUUCUGGCAUCGAUGAAGAACGCAGCGAAAUGCGAUAAGUAAUGUGAAUUGCAGAAUUCAGUGAAUCAUCGAAUCUUUGAACGCACAUUGCGCCCGCUGGUAUUCCGGCGGGCAUGCCUGUUCGAGCGUCAUUAUGACCAACUCACGCUCCGCGUGGUCUUGGGGCCCGCUGCUUCGGCGGCCCCUAAACGCAGUGGCGGUGCCGUGCGGCUCUCAGCGUAGUAAUUCUUCUCGCUACAGGGUCCGGACGGUGCUGGCCAGCAACCCCAACUAUACUAGGUUGACCUCGGAUCAGGUAGGGAUACCCGCUUGAACUUAAGCAUAUCAAUUAAAGCGGAG
This 544-nucleotide unclassified non-coding RNA is filed under the name Ascomycota sp. N32. Its description in RNAcentral is "sequence contains ITS1, 5.8S rRNA gene, ITS2". The stretch from base 183 to 336 matches the Rfam family "5.8S ribosomal RNA". Lineage: Eukaryota; Fungi; Ascomycota. The record is from RNAcentral.